RNAcentral lists this ribosomal RNA (249 nucleotides) under uncultured bacterium. RNAcentral's name for it is "partial 16S ribosomal RNA". It matches the Rfam family "Bacterial small subunit ribosomal RNA", at positions 86 to 334 of the family's 1533-position model. The record is from RNAcentral.
AGAUGGCGACCGGCGCACGGGUGAGUAACACGUAUCCAACCUGCCGAUAACUCGGGGAUAGCCUUUCGAAAGAAAGAUUAAUACCCGAUGGUAUAAUCAGACCGCAUGGUUUGUAUUUAUUAAAGAAUUUCGGUUAUCGAUGGGGAUGCGUUCCAUUAGGCAGUUGGUGAGGUAACGGCUCACCAAACCUUCGAUGGAUAGGGGUUCUGAGAGGAAGGUCCCCCACAUUGGAACUGAGACACGGUCCAA